This 497-nucleotide ribosomal RNA is filed under the name uncultured bacterium. Its description in RNAcentral is "partial 16S ribosomal RNA". It matches the Rfam family "Bacterial small subunit ribosomal RNA", at positions 28 to 507 of the family's 1533-position model. The record is from RNAcentral.
GACGAACGCUGGCGGCGUGCCUAAUACAUGCAAGUUGAGCGCUGAAGGUUGGUACUUGUACCCACUGGAUGAGCAGCGAACGGGUGAGUAACGCGUGGGGAAUCUGCCUUUGAGCGGGGGACAACAUUUGGAAACGAAUGCUAAUACCGCAUAAAAACUUUAAACACAAUUUUUAAGUUUGAAAGAUGCAAUUGCAUCACUCAAAGAUGAUCCCGCGUUGUAUUAGCUAGUUGGUGAGGUAAAGGCUCACCAAGGCGAUGAUACAUAGCCGACCUGAGAGGGUGAUCGGCCACAUUGGGACUGAGACACGGCCCAAACUCUUACGGGAGGCAGCAGUAGGGAAUCUUCGGCAAUGGACGAAAGUCUGACCGAGCAACGCCGCGUGAGUGAAGAAGGUUUUCGGAUCGUAAAACUCUGUUGGUAGAGAAGAACGUUGGUGAGAGUGGAAAGCUCAUCAAGUGACGGUAACUACCCAGAAAGGGACGGCUAACUACGUG